GCACUGGUGGGUCAGUGGUAGAAUUCUCACCUUCAUAUGAGAGACUCAAGUUCGAUUCCUGGCCACUGCU
Molecule: transfer RNA, 70 nt
Filed under: Loxodonta africana (African savanna elephant)
Lineage: Eukaryota; Metazoa; Chordata; Mammalia; Proboscidea; Elephantidae
Rfam family: tRNA
About the family: Transfer RNA (tRNA) molecules are approximately 80 nucleotides in length. Their secondary structure includes four short double-helical elements and three loops (D, anti-codon, and T loops). Further hydrogen bonds mediate the characteristic L-shaped molecular structure. tRNAs have two regions of fundamental functional importance: the anti-codon, which is responsible for specific mRNA codon recognition, and the 3' end, to which the tRNAs corresponding amino acid is attached (by aminoacyl-tRNA synthetases). tRNAs cope with the degeneracy of the genetic code in two manners: having more than one tRNA (with a specific anti-codon) for a particular amino acid; and 'wobble' base-pairing, i.e. permitting non-standard base-pairing at the 3rd anti-codon position.
Source: Rfam by way of RNAcentral